GGCUCGAUGGCGAAGUUGGUUAUCGCAUCUGUCUCACCUACAGAAAGUUCCCAUUUCGAACCUGGAUCGUCUCA
Molecule: transfer RNA, 74 nt
Filed under: Armillaria ostoyae
Lineage: Eukaryota; Fungi; Basidiomycota; Agaricomycetes; Agaricales; Physalacriaceae
Source: RNAcentral